UUAUUGUGGCUUAAUAACAUUUUUAUUUUAAUAUUUUUAUUGAGCUUUGUACCACGAUUUUGUUUAUUAGGGAAAAUUUAAAGGGCAACAAAGUCUAA
This is a long non-coding RNA of Rhagoletis zephyria (snowberry fruit fly), 98 nucleotides long. RefSeq lists it as uncharacterized. The record is from RefSeq and is a predicted model, not a curated record. NCBI's taxonomy places the organism in Eukaryota, Metazoa, Arthropoda, Insecta, Diptera, Tephritidae.